Molecule: long non-coding RNA, 440 nt
Organism: Megalobrama amblycephala (Wuchang bream)
Lineage: Eukaryota; Metazoa; Chordata; Actinopteri; Cypriniformes; Xenocyprididae
Exons: 3
Source: RefSeq, a predicted model, not a curated record
UACUGACAUGUUUAGUGCGGUUACUGUAGCUUCAGUUUCCAAACCUACAGUACCUGACGACGUGCAAAAACAGGUGAACAUAGAAGAACAUGGAGACACCUGUCAGGCAGAGGAGCAGCAGGUGUCUGACAGUGAAGUCAGUGAGGGACAGAGUAAGCAGGAGAGUAUAAUAGAAGCGGAUGCCCUCAUUAUUGUGGUUCAUUGUUCAUAGUUUUUGAGGGUGUUCAGAGGGCCAUGCAAGCCCUACUCCACUGCCACCUUUGAUCACCAGAGAGUCAGUCAAGAGAGAGUGAGUACACUGGUCCACUUGCACUUACUACUCAGCUUUGUAGGGGCUUUCGGGAAUGAAACAGUAGGUAUGCAUAUUUACAGGGACCGCAAGGAAGGUGUACUCGUGGGUGGUGUCCGACCGAUUGUGGUGGGCCGGUCUGAGCAAAAAU